Molecule: ribosomal RNA, 584 nt
Filed under: uncultured bacterium
Lineage: Bacteria
Description: bacterial SSU rRNA
Rfam family: Bacterial small subunit ribosomal RNA
Source: RNAcentral
CCUACGGGAGGCAGCAGUGGGGAAUUUUGGACAAUGGGCGCAAGCCUGAUCCAGCAAUGCCGCGUGAGUGAAGAAGGCCUUCGGGUUGUAAAGCUCUUUUGUCAGGGAAGAAACGGUCUACUCUAAUACAGUGGGCUAAUGACGGUACCUGAAGAAUAAGCACCGGCUAACUACGUGCCAGCAGCCGCGGUAAUACGUAGGGUGCAAGCGUUAAUCGGAAUUACUGGGCGUAAAGCGUGCGCAGGCGGUUAUAUAAGUCAGAUGUGAAAUCCCCGGGCUCAACCUGGGAACUGCAUUUGAGACUGUAUGGCUAGAGUGUGUCAGAGGGGGGUAGAAUUCCACGUGUAGCAGUGAAAUGCGUAGAUAUGUGGAGGAAUACCGAUGGCGAAGGCAGCCCCCUGGGAUAACACUGACGCUCAUGCACGAAAGCGUGGGGAGCAAACAGGAUUAGAUACCCUGGUAGUCCACGCCCUAAACGAUGUCUACUAGUUGUCGGGACUUAAUUGUCUUGGUAACGCAGCUAACGCGUGAAGUAGACCGCCUGGGGAGUACGGUUCGCAAGAUUAAAACUCAAGGAUUGACGG